AUUGAACGCUGGCGGCAUGCUUUACACAUGCAAGUCGGACGGCAGCACAGAGAAGCUUGCUUCUUGGGUGGCGAGUGGCGAACGGGUGAGUAACAUAUCGGAACGUACCGAGUAGUGGGGGAUAACUGAUCGAAAGAUCAGCUAAUACCGCAUACGUCUUGAGAGGGAAAGCAGGGGACCUUCGGGCCUUGCGCUAUUCGAGCGGCCGAUAUCUGAUUAGCUAGUUGGUGGGGUAAAGGCCCACCAAGGCGACGAUCAGUAGCGGGUCUGAGAGGAUGAUCCGCCACACUGGGACUGAGACACGGCCCAGACUCCUACGGGAGGCAGCAGUGGGGAAUUUUGGACAACGGGCGCAAGCCUGAUCCAGCCAUGCCGCGUGUCUGAAGAAGGCCUUCGGGUUGUAAAGGACUUUUGUCAGGGAAGAAAAGGCUGUUGCUAAUAUCAGCGGCU
This 450-nucleotide ribosomal RNA is filed under the name Neisseria meningitidis. RNAcentral describes it as "bacterial SSU rRNA". It matches the Rfam family "Bacterial small subunit ribosomal RNA", at positions 30 to 474 of the family's 1533-position model. Lineage: Bacteria; Pseudomonadati; Pseudomonadota; Betaproteobacteria; Neisseriales; Neisseriaceae. The record is from RNAcentral.